UACGUAGGGUGCAAGCGUUGUCCGGAUUUAUUGGGUUUAAAGGGUGCGUAGGCGGCCCUGUAAGUCAGUGGUGAAAUACUCCAGCUUAACUGGAGGGGUGCCAUUGAUACUGCAGGGCUUGAGUUAAGUUGAAGUUGGCGGAAUUGACGGUGUAGCGGUGAAAUGCUUAGAUAUCGUCAAGAACACCGAUAGUGAAGACAGCUAACUAAACUUUUACUGACGCUGAGGCACGAAAGUGUGGGGACCAAACAGG
RNAcentral lists this ribosomal RNA (253 nucleotides) under uncultured bacterium. RNAcentral describes it as "partial 16S ribosomal RNA". It matches the Rfam family "Bacterial small subunit ribosomal RNA", at positions 524 to 776 of the family's 1533-position model. The record is from RNAcentral.